This 225-nucleotide unclassified non-coding RNA is filed under the name Hevea brasiliensis (rubber tree). Lineage: Eukaryota; Viridiplantae; Streptophyta; Magnoliopsida; Malpighiales; Euphorbiaceae. The record is from RNAcentral.
AAGAAAAUCAAGCUCAACAACCUAUGAAGUCAAUGAGAGAGAGAGAGAUUCUCAUGUCAAAUUUGAAGAAAAUUAUAGGGAAAAUGUCUCCGUCAGAAUAAAAUGCAGGCAUACAUAUAUAUUAAAAAAAUGGUGGAAGAUCUAGGAAACCUGAAAAUCCAAUAUAUCAGUAUUCAGUAUUAAUUGCUUGUUUUAAAAAAUAUGGGCCACAAUGUUGAGCUCACA